This 468-nucleotide ribosomal RNA is filed under the name uncultured bacterium. RNAcentral's name for it is "partial 16S ribosomal RNA". It matches the Rfam family "Bacterial small subunit ribosomal RNA", at positions 28 to 507 of the family's 1533-position model. The record is from RNAcentral.
GACGAACGCUGGCGGCGUGCUUAACACAUGCAAGUCGAACGGAAAGGCCCUGCUUUUGUGGGGUGCUCGAGUGGCGAACGGGUGAGUAACACGUGAGUAACCUGCCCUUGACUUUGGGAUAACUUCAGGAAACUGGGGCUAAUACCGGAUAGGAGCUCCUGCUGCAUGGUGGGGGUUGGAAAGUUUCGGCGGUUGGGGAUGGACUCGCGGCUUAUUAGCUUGUUGGUGGGGUAGUGGCUUACCAAGGCUUUGACGGAUAGCCGGCCUGAGAGGGUGACCGGCCACAUUGGGACUGAGAUACGGCCCAGACUCCUACGGGAGGCAGCAGUGGGGAAUAUUGCACAAUGGGCGGGAGCCUGAUGCAGCAACGCCGCGUGCGGGAUGACGGCCUUCGGGUUGUAAACCGCUUUCGCCUGUGACGAAGCGUGAGUGACGGUAAUGGGUAAAGAAGCACCGGCUAACUACGUG